GUUUGCUCAACCCUGUGUCUGCUGAGGAAGUCUGCAAUCGUUUUCUUCUUUUGAAUAUGUUUGAGUCCUGACCAUAACAGGUUGAAUAGCAAACGACUUCUGGUACCUCCCUGAUUGUUGAUGUAUGCGGCUGCUGCCCUGUAUUCUAAACCUAGUUUUAUCCAUUGAAAGUGGAGUAAUGCCAGGUAUGUAACCUUUAAUCCUCUAUUUCGAUCAGAGGGAAUCCCUUGGAGAGAUUGUCCCAUGCCAGCCACCAUGUGAAGUCCUUUUUUUCAAUUGUCUUAAAUUGGGAGAAUCUUGAGAGCUGGAAUUGAAAUGAUACAGAAAGUGCUAUUAAAGAGGUUGAAGAUUCUGCUGUGCCCAUCUUACUAGGCCUAUUGUGGAUGAAAGGGUUCCUAUAAUUUUCAUAAA
Pelobates cultripes (western spadefoot toad) is the source of this 411-nucleotide non-coding RNA. The record is from the annotation of a GenBank genome assembly. NCBI's taxonomy places the organism in Eukaryota, Metazoa, Chordata, Amphibia, Anura, Pelobatidae.